Molecule: non-coding RNA, 121 nt
Filed under: Dunaliella tertiolecta
Lineage: Eukaryota; Viridiplantae; Chlorophyta; Chlorophyceae; Chlamydomonadales; Dunaliellaceae
Source: RNAcentral
CCUGUCGAUUCUUUCCAACUUCUGGCUGGAGCUGGAUCCUUGUGUGGGCACACAUGAAGAGGUGGAGGCAGAGCAGACUAGAGCACUGGUACUGACCUCUGGCAGGCCCAUGAAAGCACAC